Molecule: ribosomal RNA, 288 nt
Filed under: uncultured bacterium
Lineage: Bacteria
Description: partial 16S ribosomal RNA
Source: RNAcentral
CUGCUGCCUCCCGUAGGAGUCUGGGCCGUAUCUCAGUCCCAAUGUGGCCGAUCGACCUCUCAGUCCGGCUACCCAUCGUCGGCUAGGUGGGCCUCUACCCCGCCUACUACCUAAUGGGCCGCGACCCCAUCCCGCGCCGUCGGGGCUUUCCCGCCGCCCCCAUGCGGGGGCCGCGGAGUAUCCGGUAUUAGCCGCCGUUUCCAGCGGUUGUCCCGGAGCGCGGGGCAGGUUGGUCACGUGUUACUCACCCGUUCGCCACUGUAUGUCCGCCCGAGGGCGGUUUAACCG